GGUUAACUAAUGAUGUUGCUGUGUUCUCCUCUAAAUCUGGGGAGCUGCUUUUGCUUACUCUUGUUUAUGAUGGGAGAGUUGUUCAGAGGCUUGAACUGAUGAUGUCAAGAGCUUCAGUCCUUACAUCGGACAUUUGGAAGCUCGUUUUUCUUUUUGGGCAGUCGGUUGGGUGAUAGUCUGCUUGUACAGUACAGUACUAUUCUGGAAUUGGAG
Salvia splendens (bonfire salvia) is the source of this 213-nucleotide long non-coding RNA. RefSeq lists it as uncharacterized. Lineage: Eukaryota; Viridiplantae; Streptophyta; Magnoliopsida; Lamiales; Lamiaceae. The transcript is spliced from 3 exons. The record is from RefSeq and is a predicted model, not a curated record.